AUUUUUAUUUUUUAGCCGUUAGACUCUGUAUUAAAUGUUUUGACCGUUGGGCUCUUUAUUAAAAUUUUAAUGAGUCAAUAAAAAUCCUAAUGGCCAUAAAUAGUCAUAAAUAGUCAUAUUGGUUGGCUAUAAAAAAUCCUCUUGGGAUCUGAUCAAGUAUGCAAUUCAAGAGUCUUCUAAUAUUCUUUCUUGGAUGAUUGACUCUUCAAUUAUAAUAUUUCUUCUUUUUUCAUCUUUCGGAUGCUGAAAGAGUCUUCAUCAACCUCCUCC
RNAcentral lists this long non-coding RNA (270 nucleotides) under Elaeis guineensis (African oil palm). RNAcentral's name for it is "long non-coding RNA (EGUI_LNC001981)". The record is from RNAcentral. Lineage: Eukaryota; Viridiplantae; Streptophyta; Magnoliopsida; Arecales; Arecaceae.